GGAGAGGUGGUCGAGUGGUUUAUGGCUCCGGUCUUGAAAACCGGCAUAGUGAAAACUAUCGAGGGUUCGAAUCCCUCUCUCUCCU
Molecule: transfer RNA, 85 nt
Filed under: Gnetum montanum
Lineage: Eukaryota; Viridiplantae; Streptophyta; Gnetopsida; Gnetales; Gnetaceae
Also listed under: 5 other names
Description: tRNA-Ser
Rfam family: tRNA
About the family: Transfer RNA (tRNA) molecules are approximately 80 nucleotides in length. Their secondary structure includes four short double-helical elements and three loops (D, anti-codon, and T loops).
Source: RNAcentral